ACAAGUGGUAGCCUUUGUGGUUUCAUAUUUUGGCACAAGGCCUGAAAUUGUUGGAGAAGAGAGAAGCCAGGAGAUAGAUAGAUAGACAGAAAGGCAGGCAGGCAGAUAGAUAGAUAGGACUGGCAGGUAGGCAGAUAGAUAGGACUGAUAGAGAGGCAGGCAGGCAGAUAGAUAGAUCAGACAGACAUGUAGAUAGAUAGAUAGCACUGAUAGGCAGGCAGGCAGAUAGAUAGAUAGACAGGCAGGCAGAUAGAUAGGACUGAUAGACAGUUUUGAAUACAAGAUAAAUUCAAAACAAUGUGAAUAAAUAAGCAUUAUAUUUGACAGAGU
Molecule: long non-coding RNA, 330 nt
Filed under: Octopus vulgaris (common octopus)
Lineage: Eukaryota; Metazoa; Mollusca; Cephalopoda; Octopoda; Octopodidae
Source: RNAcentral